RNAcentral lists this ribosomal RNA (265 nucleotides) under uncultured prokaryote. RNAcentral's name for it is "partial 16S ribosomal RNA". It matches the Rfam family "Bacterial small subunit ribosomal RNA", at positions 524 to 788 of the family's 1533-position model. The record is from RNAcentral.
UACGGAGGAUCCUAGUGUUAUCCGGAUUUAUUGGGUUUAAAGGGAGCGUAGGCGGGAGGUCAAGUCAGCUGUGAAAUGUAUCUGCUUAACGGGUACACUGCAGUUGAAACUGGUUUUCUUGAGUGCGUAAGAGGCAGGCGGAAUUCGUUGUGUAGCGGUGAAAUGCUUAGAUAUGACGAGGAACUCCUAUUGCGAAGGCAGCUUGCUGGGUCGUUACUGACGCUGAUGCUCGAAGGUGCGGGGAUCAAACAGGAUUAGAUACCCU